GAUGAACGCUGGCGUCGUGCCUAAUACAUGCAAGUCGAGCGAACAGACGAGGAGCUUGCUCCUCUGACGUUAGCGGCGGACGGGUGAGUAACACGUGGAUAACCUACCUAUAAGACUGGGAUAACUUCGGGAAACCGGAGCUAAUACCGGAUAAUAUAUUGAACCGCAUGGUUCAAUAGUGAAAGACGGUUUUGCUGUCACUUAUAGAUGUAUCCGCGCCGCAUUAGCUAGUUGCUAAGGUAACGGCUUACCAAGGCAACGAUGCGUAGCCGACCUGAGAGGGUGAUCGGACAAACUGGAAAUGAGACACGGUGCAGACUCCUACGGGAGGCAGCAGUAGGGAAUCUGCCGCAAUGGGCGAAAGCCUGACGGAGAAACGCCGCGUGAGUGAUGAAGGUCUUCGGAUCGUAAAACUCUGUUAUUAGGGAAGAACAAAUGUGUAAGUAACUAUGCACGUCUUGACGGUACCUAAUCAGAAAGCCACGGCUAACUACGUG
RNAcentral lists this ribosomal RNA (497 nucleotides) under uncultured bacterium. Its description in RNAcentral is "partial 16S ribosomal RNA". It matches the Rfam family "Bacterial small subunit ribosomal RNA", at positions 28 to 507 of the family's 1533-position model. The record is from RNAcentral.